UACGGAGGGUGCAAGCGUUGUCCGGAAUCACUGGGCGUAAAGGGUGCGUAGGCGGGUCUUUAAGUCAGGGGUGAAAUCCUGGAGCUCAACCCCAGAACUGCCUUUGAUACUGAGGAUCUUGAGUUCGGGAGAGGUGAGUGGAACUGCGAGUGUAGAGGUGAAAUUCGUAGAUAUUCGCAAGAACACCAGUGGCGAAGGCGGCUCACUGGCCCGAUACUGACGCUGAGGCACGAAAGCGUGGGGAGCAAACAGG
This 253-nucleotide ribosomal RNA is filed under the name uncultured bacterium. RNAcentral's name for it is "partial 16S ribosomal RNA". It matches the Rfam family "Bacterial small subunit ribosomal RNA", at positions 524 to 776 of the family's 1533-position model. The record is from RNAcentral.